Molecule: unclassified non-coding RNA, 452 nt
Filed under: Bombus terrestris (buff-tailed bumblebee)
Lineage: Eukaryota; Metazoa; Arthropoda; Insecta; Hymenoptera; Apidae
Description: misc RNA ENSBTSG00005028092.1
Source: RNAcentral
AUUUAUCUCGUCUUUUCUUAAGCACCCUGACACGUACCAAGGAGAACGUACAAGAAACCGCAGAACAUAAAAUACAGCGUUAUAUUACCCCACGCAGAGGAUAGUUUGAUCCAGAAUUGUCCAAAAGACCCACAGUCUGUGCACCGUUAUCAGACAUAAAGAGAAUAAUCGAGUUUUCCAGCAUGUUAGCCUGCUUCAACGCCUGGACAACUCUACCGACAGAUUCAUCCAAGGCGGUAACCACGCCUGAAAACAAGGAAACAUACAUUGCAAUAAGACGCUGCGAGAAUAUAACAAGUAGUAAUCGAUGCACCGAGAAUAAGGCGACAAAUAUAAGAGUCACGGUCCAAGCUUGAGUUCAAGUUGGAGGUGUCAGAUCUAAAUGCAAAAGUACGAGGAGUGACAAGCUUGUCGAUUGGAAACCUAGACCAGGGCUGUAACCCGAAAACGAG